Molecule: ribosomal RNA, 487 nt
Filed under: uncultured organism
Description: bacterial SSU rRNA
Rfam family: Bacterial small subunit ribosomal RNA
Source: RNAcentral
GAUAAACGCUAGCGACAGGCCUAACACAUGCAAGUCGAGGGGCAGCACAUGAGUAGCAAUACGAUGGUGGCGACCGGCGCACGGGUGAGUAACACGUAUGCAACCUACCCAUAAGAGGGGAAUAACCCGGAGAAAUUCGGACUAACACCGCAUAAUACUGAAUAUUCGCAUGGAUUUUCAGUUAAAUAUUAAUAGCUUAUGGAUGGGCAUGCGUAUGAUUAGAUAGUUGGUAGGGUAACGGCCUACCAAGUCAACGAUCAUUAGGGGUUCUGAGAGGAAGGUCCCCCACAUUGGAACUGAGACACGGUCCAAACUCCUACGGGAGGCAGCAGUGAGGAAUAUUGGUCAAUGGGCGAGAGCCUGAACCAGCCAUGUCGCGUGAAGGAAGAAUGUCCUAUGGAUUGUAAACUUCUUUUAUACAGGAAUAAAGUGUACUACGUGUAGUAUUUUGUAUGUACUGUAUGAAUAAGGAUCGGCUAACUCCGUG